AUACGGAGGGGGCAAGCGUUGUUCGGAAUUACUGGGCGUAAAGCGCGCGUAGGCGGGCUGGUUAGUUGGGGGUGAAAUCCCAGGGCUUAACCCUGGAACUGCCUUCAAUACUGCCAGUCUAGAGUUCGCGAGAGGUGGGUGGAAUUCCUAGUGUAGAGGUGAAAUUCGUAGAUAUUAGGAAGAACACCAGUGGCGAAGGCGGCUCACUGGCUCGAUACUGACGCUGAGGUGCGAAAGCGUGGGGAGCAAACAGGAUUAGAAACCCCAGUAGUCC
Molecule: ribosomal RNA, 274 nt
Filed under: uncultured bacterium
Lineage: Bacteria
Description: partial 16S ribosomal RNA
Rfam family: Bacterial small subunit ribosomal RNA
Source: RNAcentral